GACGAACGCUGGCGGCGUGCUUAACACAUGCCAGUCGAACGGACAGGCCCUGCUGUUGUUGGGUGCUCGAGUGGCGAACGGGUGAGUAACACGUGAGUAACCUGCCCUUGACUUUGGGAUAACUUCAGGAAACUGUGGCUAAUACCGGCUAGUAGCUCCUGCUGCUUAUUGUGGGUUGGUAAGUUUCUGCGGUUUGCGAUGGAGUCGCUGCUUAGCGGCCUGGUGGUGUGGUAGUUGGUUGCCAAGGCUUUGACGGGUGGCCGGCCUGAUAGGGUGACCGGCCAAGAUGGCAAUGAGAGGCGGCAGAGACUCAUACGCGGGGAAGGAGGGGAGACUGAUGGAGAAUGGGCGGAAGCGUGAUGAAGCAACGCGGCGUGCGGGAUGCCGGUGUUCGGGUUGUAAACCGCUUUCGCCUGUGACGAAGCGUGGGUGACGGUAAUGGGUAAAGAAGCACCGGCUAACUACGU
This 467-nucleotide ribosomal RNA is filed under the name uncultured bacterium. Its description in RNAcentral is "partial 16S ribosomal RNA". It matches the Rfam family "Bacterial small subunit ribosomal RNA", at positions 28 to 506 of the family's 1533-position model. The record is from RNAcentral.